CCAAGAUUCUUUGGUUCCUUCAAUAAACUAAGGCACUUGAAACUUUCAUACUCAAACUUCACUGGUGAAGUUCCUUGUGAACUUGGGAACCUUACAAACCUACAUACUCUUGACCUUUGUGGUAACGAUAUAAGAAUCAAGAACCUUGAUUGGCUUUCUCAUCUUUCUUUGCUGUCAUAUCUUGACUUGAGUAAUAAUGAUUUUGGAAGAAGUGAAAUUCCAAGAUUCUUUGGUUCCUUCAAUAAACUAAGGCACUUGAAACUUUCAUACUCAAACUUCACUGGUGAAGUUCCUUGUGAACUUGGGAACCUUACAAACCUACAUACUCUUGACCUUUGUGGUAACGAUAUAAGAAUCAAGAACCUUGAGUGGCUUUCUCAUCUUUCUUUGCUGUCAUAUCUUGGAUUGAAUGGUGUGAACCUUAUGAAUCAAACCAGCUGGUUGCACAGC
RNAcentral lists this long non-coding RNA (450 nucleotides) under Olea europaea (common olive). Its description in RNAcentral is "long non-coding RNA (OEUR_LNC012986)". The record is from RNAcentral. Lineage: Eukaryota; Viridiplantae; Streptophyta; Magnoliopsida; Lamiales; Oleaceae.